Molecule: ribosomal RNA, 859 nt
Filed under: Salmonella enterica subsp. enterica serovar Dublin
Lineage: Bacteria; Pseudomonadati; Pseudomonadota; Gammaproteobacteria; Enterobacterales; Enterobacteriaceae
Description: partial 23S ribosomal RNA
Rfam family: Bacterial large subunit ribosomal RNA
Source: RNAcentral
CUAAGCCAGUGGUGAACUCCACAUACGCAUCCUUUGCUGAGGAUACGGUUAACGGAGCGAAAGCGACGUUCAACCGCAAAAGAAGCAGAGGGGGCUUAGUGGUGGGGUGACUGCGUACCUUUUGUAUAAUGGGUCAGCGACUUAUAUUCUGUAGCAAGGUUAACCGAAUAGGGGAGCCGGAGGGAAACCGAGUCUUAACCGGGCGUUAAGUUGCAGGGUAUAGACCCGAAACCCGGUGAUCUAGCCAUGGGCAGGUUGAAGGUUGGGUAACACUAACUGGAGGACCGAACCGACUAAUGUUGAAAAAUUAGCGGAUGACCUGUGGCUGGGGGUGAAAGGCCAAUCAAACCGGGAGAUAGCUGGUUCUCCCCGAAAGCUAUUUAGGUAGCGCCUCGUGAAUUCAUCUCCGGGGGUAGAGCACUGUUUCGGCUAGGGGGCCAUCCCGGCUUACCAACCCGAUGCAAACUGCGAAUACCGGAGAAUGUUAUCACGGGAGACACACGGCGGGUGCUAACGUCCGUCGUGAAGAGGGAAACAACCCAGACCGCCAGCUAAGGUCCCAAAGUCAUGGUUAAGUGGGAAACGAUGUGGGAAGGCCCAGACAGCCAGGAUGUUGGCUUAGAAGCAGCCAUCAUUUAAAGAAAGCGUAAUAGCUCACUGGUCGAGUCGGCCUGCGCGGAAGAUGUAACGGGGCUAAACCAUGCACCGAAGCUGCGGCAGCGAACGUAUCACUUAAAGCGAUUCAGCGGGUUACGAUUGACGGAGCGAAGCGACGUCAAAGCGUAUACAAAGUCGAGUCGGUUUAAGGAUACGUUCGUUGGGUAGGGGAGCGUUCUGUAAGCCUGUGAAGGUGGCCUGU